Molecule: ribosomal RNA, 626 nt
Filed under: uncultured Verrucomicrobiota bacterium
Lineage: Bacteria; Pseudomonadati; Verrucomicrobiota
Description: bacterial SSU rRNA
Rfam family: Bacterial small subunit ribosomal RNA
Source: RNAcentral
UCGCUGUAGCAAUACAGUGGAAAGUUUAGUGGCGAACGGGUGCGUAACACGUGGGCAAUUUGCCUUAAAGUGUGGGAUAGCUCGGCGAAAGCCGGAUUAAUACCGCAUGUGGCUACUGGAGACAUCUUCGGGACGCUAAAGGUGGCGCAAGCUACCGCUUUUUGAGGAGCCCGCGGCCUAUCAGCUUGUUGGUGAGGUAACGGCUCACCAAGGCGUUGACGGGUAGCUGGUCUGAGAGGACGACCAGCCACACUGGGACUGAGACACGGCCCAGACACCUACGGGUGGCAGCAGUCGAGAAUUUUUGACAAUGGGGGAAACCCUGAUCGAGCGACGCCGCGUGGAGGAUGAAGGUCUUCGGGUUGUAAACUCCUGUCAUUUGGGAACGAGGCGUGGAUAUUAACUGUACACACGUUGAUAGUACCAGAAGAGGAAGAGACGGCUAACUCUGUGCCAGCAGCCGCGGUAAUACAGAGGUCUCAAGCGUUGUUCGGAUUCAUUGGGCGUAAAGGGUGUGUAGGUGGCGCGCUAAGUCGGGUGUGAAAUUUCGGAGCUUAACUCCGAAACUGCAUUCGAUACUGGCGUGCUUGAGGACUGGAGAGGAGACUGGAAUUCUCGGUGUAGCA